Molecule: ribosomal RNA, 497 nt
Filed under: uncultured bacterium
Lineage: Bacteria
Description: partial 16S ribosomal RNA
Rfam family: Bacterial small subunit ribosomal RNA
Source: RNAcentral
GAUGAACGCUGGCGGCGUGCCUAAUACAUGCAAGUCGAGCGAACAGACGAGGAGCUUGCUCCUCUGACGUUAGCGGCGGACGGGUGAGUAACACGUGGAUAACCUACCUAUAAGACUGGGAUAACUUCGGGAAACCGGAGCUAAUACCAGAUAACAUGUUGAACCGCAUGGUUCAACAGUGAAAGACGGUCUUGCUGUCACUUAUAGAUGGAUCCGCGCCGCAUUAGCUAGUUGGUAAGGUAACGGCUUACCGAGGCAACGAUGCGUAGCCGACCUGAGAGGGUGAUCGGCCACACUGGAACUGAGACACGGUCCAGACUCCUACGGGAGGCAGCAGUAGGGAAUCUUCCGCAAUGGGCGAAAGCCUGACGGAGCAACGCCGCGUGAGUGAUGAAGGUCUUCGGAUCGUAAAACUCUGUUAUUAGGGAAGAACAAAUGUGUAAGUAACUAUGCACGUCUUGACGGCACCUAAUCAGAAAGCCACGGCUAACUACGUG